UACAGAGGGGGCGAGCGUUGUUCGGAAUUACUGGGCGUAAAGGGCGCGUAGGCGGCCCGCUAAGUCGAACGUGAAAUCCCCAGGCCCAACCUGGGAACUGCGUCCGAUACUGGCAGGCUUGAAUCCGGGAGAGGGAUGUGGAAUUCCAGGUGUAGCGGUGAAAUGCGUAGAUAUCUGGAGGAACACCGGUGGCGAAGGCGGCAUCCCGGACCGGUAUUGACGCUGAGGCGCGAAAGCUAGGGGAGCAAACGGG
Molecule: ribosomal RNA, 253 nt
Filed under: uncultured bacterium
Lineage: Bacteria
Description: partial 16S ribosomal RNA
Rfam family: Bacterial small subunit ribosomal RNA
Source: RNAcentral